Molecule: long non-coding RNA, 994 nt
Organism: Triticum aestivum (bread wheat)
Lineage: Eukaryota; Viridiplantae; Streptophyta; Magnoliopsida; Poales; Poaceae
Exons: 4
Source: RefSeq, a predicted model, not a curated record
ACCACCAGAUCGGAGCUCCUCCGAUCCACCCGGCCCAGCCAGGUUGAACGCCGCCCCGUUCUCAUCUGCGGGAUCCCGGUUGCCGCCUCACCCACGACCCUCUCCUCCGCGGCCCAGUCCGCUCGAACGCCGCCGCCCUCCUCACUGGCGGGAUCGGAGCCGCCAGCCUCACCCGCGGGAUCGGAGCCGCCGGCCACCGCCCACCUCGCCUGAGGGAUAGGAUACCACUACUCUUCUACACCGACCCAUCACCGGCCACCGGUGGUGCAUCACCUGCUUCGCCUUACUGCGCCGUUUCGAAGAAACUGUGGGUGGAAAUUCCCGAACCGCUGCACCGACGGUGGUGUGAUGCCGGCGAUGGGUCAGCUGGCAAUUCGAUAUGCGAGGAUGUCGCUGCCAACUCGGGAGCGAAAAUGGAACAUAUAUCAAUCUUGUAAUGGAUGUUCGGGAUGCUUUUGAGGGAAAUGAUUUGGUGAAAUGUUGAUUGCGAGGGUUUGGAACCAAGUGACAGCAAAAAAAAUGAAGCAAAGCUGAAGGAUCUUGUUCCUUGUGUUCUCCUGUCAUUUGACAAUGAGCAGAUAUUAAUCUACAGAGGCAGUGAAUGGAACUCUAGAUACUCAGCCUCCCACUAUCACUCCAAAAGUUCAAAAGAAUAAUCUGACAGUGUCAACUGCUUUGAGUAACUCAGGAUGGGUGGUUAGAAGAGCUGGAAGGGAAGGCGCAAGAACAUGAUAAGAAGGAUGUUGCACAACAAGAGAAGAUAAAGGAGCUCUAGAUUGUUGUAGAGAAGAUUAUCAGUUUUUACUGGCGGCCGUUAGAAGCUGUAUAGAAGAUGAUGCAUUUUUAUUAGAUUCAAGUGAGAUUAUUCAGAUUUGCAUAAAAAAGCUGUAUAGAAGUUGAUGCAUUUUUAUUAGAUUCAAGUGAGAUUAUUCAGAUUUGCAUAAAAAGUGCCGAGGAUCGUGCAAAGCUAAAUUAUCUUUGUUGUUGCUGCUUA